GAUGAACGCUGGCGGCGUGCCUAAUACAUGCAAGUCGAGCGAACAGACGAGGAGCUUGCUCCUCUGACGUUAGCGGCGGACGGGUGAGUAACACGUGGAUAACCUACCUAUAAGACUGGGAUAACUUCGGGAAACCGGAGCUAAUACCGGAUAAUAUAUUGAACCGCAUGGUUCAAUAGUGAAAGACGGUUUUGCCGUCACUUAUAGAUGGAUCCGCGCCGCAUUAGCUAGUUGGUAAGGUAACGGCUUACCAAGGCAACGAUGCGUAGCCGACCUGAGAGGGUGAUCGGCCACACUGGAACUGAGACACGGUCCAGACUCCUACGGGAGGCAGCAGUAGGGAAUCUUCCGCAAUGGGCGAAAGCUUGACGGGGCAACGCCGCGUGAGUGAUGAAGGUCUUCGGAUCGUAAAACUCUGUUAUUAGGGAAGAACAAAUGUGUAAGUAACUAUGCACGUCUUGACGGUACCUAAUCAGAAAGCCACGGCUAACUACGUG
This 497-nucleotide ribosomal RNA is filed under the name uncultured bacterium. Its description in RNAcentral is "partial 16S ribosomal RNA". It matches the Rfam family "Bacterial small subunit ribosomal RNA", at positions 28 to 507 of the family's 1533-position model. The record is from RNAcentral.